GGAAGUGCUUGCACUUCCCUAGAGUGGCGGGACUGGUGAGUAACACGUGGGUGACAUACCUUUUAGUUGGGGAUAGCUAUUAGAAAUAGUAGAUAAUACCGAAUGUGACCAUUACAGUUAGAGUGUAAUGAGGAAAGGAGCUAAGGCUCCGCUAAAAGAUUGGCUCGCGGCCCAUUAGCUAGUUGGUGAGGUAACGGCCCACCAAGGCGAUGAUGGGUAUCCGGCCUGAGAGGGUGAUCGGACACAUUGGGACUGAGAUACGGCCCAGACUCCUACGGGAGGCAGCAGCUAAGAAUAUUCCACAAUGGACGAAAGUCUGAUGGAGCGACGCCGCGUGGAUGACGAAGGCCGAAAGGUUGUAAAAUCCUUUUAAACUGGAAGAAUAAUCAUGGUAGGGAAUGACCGUGAGGUGACCGUACAGUUUGAAUAAGCAACGGCUAAUUACGUGCCAGCAGCCGCGGUAACACGUAAGUUGCGAGCGUUGUUCGGAAUUAUUGGGCGUAAAGGGCAUGUAGGCGGUUUUGAAAGCUUGAUGUGAAAUCCCACAGCUUAACUGUGGAACUGCAUUGAGAACUACAAGACUAGAGUUACUGAAGGGAAACUAGAAUUCCAAGUGUAGGGGUGAAAUCUGUAGAUAUUUGGAAGAAUACCAAUGGCGAAGGCAAGUUUCUGGCAGAUAACUGACGCUGAGGUGCGAAGGUGCGGGGAGCAAACAGGAUUAGAUACCCUGGUAGUCCGCACAGUAAACGAUGUACACUAGGUGUUUGAACAUGAGGUUGGGUGCCAAAGCUAACGUGAUAAGUGUACCG
This 809-nucleotide ribosomal RNA is filed under the name uncultured bacterium. RNAcentral's name for it is "bacterial SSU rRNA". It matches the Rfam family "Bacterial small subunit ribosomal RNA", at positions 72 to 871 of the family's 1533-position model. The record is from RNAcentral.